UACGUAGGGUGCGAGCGUUAAUCGGAAUUACUGGGCGUAAAGCGUGCGCAGGCGGUCUGUUAAGACAGAUGUGAAAUCCCCGGGCUUAACCUGGGAACUGCAUUUGUGACUGGCAGGCUAGAGUAUGGCAGAGGGGGGUAGAAUUCCACGUGUAGCAGUGAAAUGCGUAGAUAUUGGGAGGAACACCGGUGGCGAAGGCGGCCACCUGGGCCGGAACUGACGCUGAGGCGCGAAAGCGUGGGGAGCAAACGGG
Molecule: ribosomal RNA, 253 nt
Filed under: uncultured bacterium
Lineage: Bacteria
Description: partial 16S ribosomal RNA
Rfam family: Bacterial small subunit ribosomal RNA
Source: RNAcentral